GAUGAACGCUGGCGGCGUGCUUAACACAUGCAAGUCGAACGGUGAAGGCGGAGCUUGCUCUGCUGGAUCAGUGGCGAACGGGUGAGUAACACGUGAGCAAUCUGCCCCUGACUCUGGGAUAAGCGCUGGAAACGGCGUCUAAUACUGGAUACGAGCUGCGAAGGCAUCUUCAGCAGCUGGAAAGAAUUUCGGUCAGGGAUGAGCUCGCGGCCGAUCAGCUUGUUGGUGAGGUAAUGGCUCACCAAGGCGUCGAGGGGUAGCCGGCCUGAGAGGGUGACCGGCCACACUGGGACUGAGAUACGGCCCAGACUACAACGGGACGCAGCAGUGGGGAAUAUUGCACAAUGGGCGAAAGCAUGAUGCAGCAACGCCGCGUGGGGGACGACGGCCUUCGGGUUGUAAACCUCUGUUAGCAGGGAAGAAGCGAAAGUGACGGUACCUGCAGAAAAAGCGCCGGCUAACUACGUG
Molecule: ribosomal RNA, 468 nt
Filed under: uncultured bacterium
Lineage: Bacteria
Description: partial 16S ribosomal RNA
Rfam family: Bacterial small subunit ribosomal RNA
Source: RNAcentral